UACGGAGGUCCCAAGCGUUGUUCGGAAUUACUGGGCGUAAAGGGAGCGCAGGCGGAUAGUUAAGUCUAAAGUGGAAUCCCGGGGCUCAACCUCGGAACUGCUUCGGAUACUGGCUAUCUUGAGUUCGUGAGAGGAAAGCGGAAUUCAGGGUGUAGCGGUGAAAUGCUUAGAUAUCCUGAGGAACACCAAUGGCGAAGGCAGCUUUCUGGCGCGAUACUGACGCUGAGGCUCGAAAGCGUGGGGAGCGAACGGG
RNAcentral lists this ribosomal RNA (253 nucleotides) under uncultured bacterium. RNAcentral's name for it is "partial 16S ribosomal RNA". It matches the Rfam family "Bacterial small subunit ribosomal RNA", at positions 524 to 776 of the family's 1533-position model. The record is from RNAcentral.